UGACUUAAUUGGCAGGUGAGACACCAUCUCCAGGAAGGUGAUUUCCCAAGAGUGAUGCUCAGCUCCUACAUUCUGAGUGUGCUGACUUCUCUGGUUUCAAAUGCAGGAAAUUCAGCUGUGUAAUUUGUUUUGAAGGGGAACUGUGUUCAUGCUCUCUCAUA
This is a small nuclear RNA of Apteryx haastii (Great spotted kiwi), 161 nucleotides long. Its record names the gene U1. It matches the Rfam family "U1 spliceosomal RNA". Rfam says of the family: U1 is a small nuclear RNA (snRNA) component of the spliceosome (involved in pre-mRNA splicing). Its 5' end forms complementary base pairs with the 5' splice junction, thus defining the 5' donor site of an intron. There are significant differences in sequence and secondary structure between metazoan and yeast U1 snRNAs, the latter being much longer (568 nucleotides as compared to 164 nucleotides in human). The record is from Ensembl. Lineage: Eukaryota; Metazoa; Chordata; Aves; Apterygiformes; Apterygidae.